Molecule: microRNA precursor, 63 nt
Filed under: Marmota monax (woodchuck)
Lineage: Eukaryota; Metazoa; Chordata; Mammalia; Rodentia; Sciuridae
Source: RNAcentral
UCUUAUGAAUGAGCAAAGAAAUUUGUUUCUUAAGAUGGAAUCUGCUGUUGAGACUGCUAAGAA